UAUUAUAUCAAAGUUCGUAGUUCAUACAUGAUACAUCAAUAAUAACAUAGAUCACAUAGAGACAUAUCUCCGCUAUUUGGGCCUCCAAGUUAUUUGGGCCGAUGGAAAUAAAUCUAAGGCCAAAUAGCGGCGCUAAACUAACCCAAUUUAGCGAAAUUAACGUGCUAUUAGCUGCUAAUAACGGGAACAAUCAUUUAGCGUUAAAAUCUUCAUAGAUUAGUAGUCUUUCAGAAACGCUAAAUAGCGCUAUAGCGUCCGCUAUAGCGCGCUAUUUAGAACAGGGGUUUUAUCACAUCGUACGGGCAAUGUCGGCGCCAUACAUUCCCCUUGUACACAGCACGACGUGUGCUUACUGCUUGGACUCUGCGCGUGACAAGGCAUAUCCGGGACUGGACUUCGCGGUGGUCUGAUGACUGUAGCAAUCCCGGUGUAAAAAGACUGGUCGCACUGUUCCAUAGCUAUCCACUUCAGUAUGAGCACUCUCGUCAAUCUUCCUGACGCUACGCUGUGUUAAUUUAGGUUAGGUGCUGUCUCACGCUUGAACAACCAACAUCACCAGCAGAGCACAGCCAGUGCUCGACUGCCUCCGAGAAUUCUACACCGCUGCUGCACGCUGCACAUGCAAUGCAACGGCCCGGAUGCGGGAAUCGUGUGCUGGCAUCUCCUGUAUUAUGCUAAUCCACGAUGUCCAAGAGAUUCUGGGCACUGGGGACUAAUCUACGGAGCCGAGAAGUCCAUGCACGCCCACCCCACCCAGCUCACGUCCAGCCGAGUGCCGCUGCCGCCCACUUCAAGUUCAAGCCUCCACGACGGGAUCCCAAAAUAAAAUGAGCUGCAAUCCAGUGAUUAGUGAGGCCUUGUUUACUUCCAAAUUUUUUUGCAAAAUAGGAAUAGUAGCACUUUCGUUUGUAUUUGACAAAUAUUAUUAAAUUAUGAACUAACUAGACUCAAAAUAUUCGUCUCGUCAAUUCCGACCAAACUAUACAAUUUGUUUUAAUUUUCAUCUAUAUUUAAUACUCCAUACAUACGUCUAAAGAUUCGAUGUGACGGGAAAUCUGAAAAAUUUUGCAAAAUUUUUCAGGAACUAAACAAGGCCUGAAGCUCUCUCCCACCUGCCCUCACUCUCCAGUCACCACCCGCCAUCGCAGGCUGCUGACCUGCCGGCACGCGCGGCCCGCACGGGGCCCCACGUGCGGUUGCGCGCGCACCUGUCGCGCGGGCGGGCGGCCGCCCAUGCCCGAUCUGACGGCGGGCCGUGCUGGGCUGCUGGCAGCGAUCGACGACCGAGAUCCGCACCCGACGGUCCCGUGAGGCCGUGGCAGUUUGAUAGUCGACGACGCUCGACGCGCUUUCAGUUGACCUGUAGUUCUCAGUGCAAUUCCCCUCUUCUUCUUUUUUUCACCAUCGGCGCC
Molecule: long non-coding RNA, 1412 nt
Filed under: Sorghum bicolor (sorghum)
Lineage: Eukaryota; Viridiplantae; Streptophyta; Magnoliopsida; Poales; Poaceae
Description: long non-coding RNA (SBIC_LNC011300)
Source: RNAcentral